AUCUUUGCGCUUGGGGGAAUGACGCAGUUAGUGAGGUGAAACCGAGCGUCAAUUGCUGGUUGAAAACUGUAUUUAAAGAUAAUUAAAUUAAACAUCAAACUUUCUUCCUCUCUUAUGUGU
This 120-nucleotide small nuclear RNA is filed under the name Marchantia polymorpha subsp. ruderalis. Its description in RNAcentral is "U4 spliceosomal RNA". It matches the Rfam family "U4 spliceosomal RNA". From Rfam's summary of the family: U4 small nuclear RNA (U4 snRNA) is a component of the major U2-dependent spliceosome. The structure of U4 snRNA from yeast and human has been reported. U4 snRNA presents a k-turn RNA motif in the 5p-SL related to recognition of Snu13 protein. Lineage: Eukaryota; Viridiplantae; Streptophyta; Marchantiopsida; Marchantiales; Marchantiaceae. The record is from Rfam by way of RNAcentral.